AGUGAACGCUGGCGGUAGGCCUAACACAUGCAAGUCGAACGGCAGCACAGUAAGAGCUUGCUCUUACGGGUGGCGAGUGGCGGACGGGUGAGGAAUACAUCGGAAUCUACUUUUUCGUGGGGGAUAACGUAGGGAAACUUACGCUAAUACCGCAUACGACCUACGGUUGAAAUAAUUGCAUCUUCGUACCUUGCUCGAUUGAAUGUGUCGUUGUCGGAUUAGCUAGUUGGCGGGGUAAAGGCCCACCAAGGCGACGAUCCGUAGCUGGUCUGAGAGGAUGAUCAGCCACACUGGAACUGAGACACGGUCCAGACUCCUACGGGAGGCAGCAGUAGGGAAUAUUGGACAAUGGGCGAAAGCCUGAUCCAGCAAUACCGCGUGGGUGAAGAAGGUCUUCGGGUUGUAAAGCCCUUUUGUUGGGAAAGAAAAGCAGCAGGUUAAUACCCCGCUGUUCUGACGGUACCCAACGAGUAAGCACCGGCUAACUUCGUG
Molecule: ribosomal RNA, 492 nt
Filed under: uncultured bacterium
Lineage: Bacteria
Description: partial 16S ribosomal RNA
Rfam family: Bacterial small subunit ribosomal RNA
Source: RNAcentral